RNAcentral lists this ribosomal RNA (912 nucleotides) under uncultured bacterium. Its description in RNAcentral is "bacterial SSU rRNA". It matches the Rfam family "Bacterial small subunit ribosomal RNA", at positions 8 to 916 of the family's 1533-position model. The record is from RNAcentral.
AGAGUUUGAUCAUGGCUCAGGAUGAACGCGGGCGGCGUGCCUAACACAUGCAAGUCGAACGGGGUUAAGUGAAAUUUUCGGAUGGAUCUUAACUUAGUGGCGGACGGGUGAGUAACGCGUGGAUAACCUGCCUCACACAGGGGGAUAGCAGCUGGAAACGGCUGGUAAUACCGCAUAAGACCACGACCCCGCAUGGGGCUGUAGUAAAAGAUUAUCGGUGUGAGAUGGAUCCGCGUCUGAUUAGCCAGUUGGCGGGGUAACGGCCCACCAAAGCGACGAUCAGUAGCCGGCCUGAGAGGGUGAACGGCCACAUUGGGACUGAGACACGGCCCAAACUCCUACGGGAGGCAGCAGCGGGGAAUAUUGCACAAUGGGCGCAAGCCUGAUGCAGCAACGCCGCGUGAGUGAAGAAGUAUUUCGGUAUGUAAAGCUCUAUCAGCAGGGAAGAAAGGCUCUUCGGAGAGAUGACGGUACCUGACUAAGAAGCCCCGGCUAACUACGUGCCAGCAGCCGCGGUAAUACGUAGGGGGCAAGCGUUAUCCGGAUUUACUGGGUGUAAAGGGAGCGCAGACGGCAGUGCAAGUCUGAUGUGAAAGCCCGGGGCUCAACCCCGGAACUGCAUUGGAAACUGUACAGCUUGAGUGUCGGAGAGGUAAGCGGAAUUCCUAGUGUAGCGGUGAAAUGCGUAGAUAUUAGGAGGAACACCGGUGGCGAAGGCGGCUUACUGGACGAUUACUGACGUUGAGGCUCGAAAGCGUGGGGAGCAAACAGGAUUAGAUACCCUGGUAGUCCACGCUGUAAACGAUGAAUACUAGGUGUGGGUGUGCACUGCACAUCCGUGCCGCAGCUAACGCAAUAAGUAUUCCACCUGGGGAGUACGUUCGCAAGAAUGAAACUCAAAUGAAUUGACGG